RNAcentral lists this ribosomal RNA (460 nucleotides) under uncultured bacterium. RNAcentral's name for it is "partial 16S ribosomal RNA". It matches the Rfam family "Bacterial small subunit ribosomal RNA", at positions 338 to 795 of the family's 1533-position model. The record is from RNAcentral.
CCUACGGGUGGCAGCAGUGAGGAAUAUUGGUCAAUGGGCGUAAGCCUGACCCAGCCAAGUCGCGUGAGGGAUGAAGGUUCUAUGGAUCGUAAACCUCUUUUAUAAGGGAAUACAGUGCGGGAAGUGUCCCGUUUUGUAUGUACCUUAUGACUAAGGAUCGGCUAACUCCGUGCCAUCAGCCGCGGUAAUACGGAGGAUCGGAGCGUUAUCCGGAUUUAUUGGGUUUAAAGGGUGCGUAGGCGGCCUUUUAAGUCAGCGGGGAAAGUCUGUGGCUCAACCAUAGAAUUGCCGUUGAAACUGGGAGGCGUGAGUUUGUUUGAGGCAGGCGGAAUGCGAGGUGUAGCGGUGAAAUGCUUAGAUAUCACGCAGAACCCCGAUUGCGAAGGCAGCCUGCCAAGCCAUGACUGACGCUGAUGCACGAAAGCGUGGGGAUCAAACAGGAUUAGAUACCCUUGUAGUC